Molecule: ribosomal RNA, 253 nt
Filed under: uncultured bacterium
Lineage: Bacteria
Description: partial 16S ribosomal RNA
Rfam family: Bacterial small subunit ribosomal RNA
Source: RNAcentral
UACGUAGGUGGCAAGCGUUGUCCGGAUUUACUGGGCGUAAAGAGCGCGCAGGCGGUCGUUCAAGUCGCGUGUGAAAGCCCCCGGCUCAACUGGGGAGGGUCACGCGAUACUGAUCGACUCGAAGGCGGGAGAGGGAAGUGGAAUUCCCGGUGUAGUGGUGAAGUGCGUAGAUAUCCGGAGGAACACCAGUGGCGAAGGCGACUUUCUGGCCUGUUCUUGACGCUGAGGCGCGAAAGCUAGGGGAGCAAACGGG